CCCCUCGCUUUGUGCAUGAUAUUGUCGGCUAUAUUAUACUUGUUAGAUUAGACUAAAUGAAGGGAAUUUUUAGGGCACGUCCUAGAGGAAUCUAGUUGUAUUUAAUAGAUAAUGACCCUCUAAAUUUGGCUUUUCCCUUUUGGAAUGAAAGGCCACCUAUUAGGAGGUUUGCAUGUAUCAAUUGACACUUAUUUGAUAGUCUCGCUAACAAGAGAGGUACGAAUGUUUGAUGCAUGGUGC
This 240-nucleotide long non-coding RNA is filed under the name Elaeis guineensis (African oil palm). RNAcentral describes it as "long non-coding RNA (EGUI_LNC026556)". Lineage: Eukaryota; Viridiplantae; Streptophyta; Magnoliopsida; Arecales; Arecaceae. The record is from RNAcentral.